RNAcentral lists this long non-coding RNA (314 nucleotides) under Gorilla gorilla gorilla (western lowland gorilla). Its description in RNAcentral is "lncRNA (ENSGGOG00000044660.1)". Lineage: Eukaryota; Metazoa; Chordata; Mammalia; Primates; Hominidae. The record is from RNAcentral.
GGAUUCUCUCCUGGAAGCUCCAUGGCUUUGACUCACAUCCUCGUUUACUAGAAACCAAAUUUAAAAGUCUCCCCCUCCAGAAGGGCGUUCUCCACGUGGCAGGGCACAUGGCCACCUGGAGCCCUGGAGCCACAUCCUCAUGACUCAGCCACCAAAGAGGAAAGAGGAAAGGUGAGGAAAGUCGAGCCCCACCUUCACUGCUAAAUCCUGGGCCCCGACUCUGGCUGGGUCUGCAGCCCUGAGGGAGGAAGGCUCUUCUACCAGAAGGAGCGGGAGAGGAGUUGGAUGUCUGGGGCUUCGCAGCUGCCCUGAUU